Molecule: long non-coding RNA, 1105 nt
Organism: Lates calcarifer (barramundi perch)
Lineage: Eukaryota; Metazoa; Chordata; Actinopteri; Centropomidae
Exons: 5
Source: RefSeq, a predicted model, not a curated record
GGGUCGUGCACCCCGGGGUGAUAGCAACAGUUUUGCUUCGCUGUCUCCCUGCUUCACAGUGUGAGCGCACGUUUGGGUGUUUCUGAUGAGACUGACUGUAUACUCUCCUGCCAGUGCAGAGGGAAUAAACAGUUCUGUGCAGGUGUACUCAGGGUUCCUUCAGUGCUGGAAUUCUAACUUUGAAACGGCAGAGAGAGUAAACCACAGAGAGGACUUUUCAACAGCAAACGCGCUGCAUUCCUCCUGCUGGUCCGCAGCUGGACUCCAAAGUAAAGUUUACAUUCCUGGGCUGCUGGGAGGAAUGCUGCCCUCUGGGGCUCUGGAACAGGCCUGAGGAUUACAAGUCAGGGACCACAGAUGAAGACUGGGAUGCUCAGUCACAGGGAAAGUCAACUAAGUACACCUGCUGUUACCUCACCUGACCUUUGCCGUCCUCUACAGGGGAACACCAGGUCCCUGUACUGAAGUAGCUGUAGCUAAAUGCCCUGAUAGCAAAGGUAGGUAGUCAACAGCAGUUUCAUUACAGAUUUAUUUUCCCUAAAUGUGUUCCCAGUCAGUUUUUACUUCACUCAGCUGCCAGCUGCUCCUGCCAAACCACUUCAAGUGUUUCAUAUGCAAAGUUUAUUCUUUGGCUUGCAGAGGUCACUAUAUCCAGUGUAUUUGUAGCCAAUCCUAACCCUAACCCUAACCCAACUAACUCUAACUCUAACCCUAACCCUAACCCAACAACUUAAACUAAUUGUCUAUAAUACUUCUGCAUCAAACCAGAUUGCAACAUUCAAAAAAUUGUACAGUCUGUUAACAACUGUUUAUAUAGACAAUAUGGUUCAAUUGAAAGUGUAAGUGAGCUGAUCUAGCAGUGUAUUGAGAUUCAGUAUAUAAUAAAGAAAAGUUUCAUACAGUAAAUUAGAUUUUCUCCAUUUGAAUAUUAGUGCUUUCACAACAGGACUGAGACAGUGAUGAUAUUCUGGGUAGACACGUUGUUUCUCAAAGACACGUGGGCCUUAAUAAGUAAGCACCAAAUGAUAUGUUAAGUGACAUGUCCACUUAGUGUCACCCAAUAACCUGCCAAACGUUUGAUUUUUAACUUUGAAUGGAACGAUGA